Molecule: ribosomal RNA, 253 nt
Filed under: uncultured bacterium
Lineage: Bacteria
Description: partial 16S ribosomal RNA
Rfam family: Bacterial small subunit ribosomal RNA
Source: RNAcentral
CACGUAGGGCGCAAGCGUUGUCCGGAAUUAUUGGGCGUAAAGGGCUCGUAGGCGGUUUGUCGCGUCGGGAGUGAAAUCAUCUGGCUUAACUGGGUGCUUGCUUUCGAUACGGGCAGACUAGAGGUAUGCAGGGGAGAACGGAAUUCCUGGUGUAGCGGUGAAAUGCGCAGAUAUCAGGAGGAACACCGGUGGCGAAGGCGGUUCUCUGGGCAUGACCUGACGCUGAGGAGCGAAAGUGUGGGGAGCGAACAGG